GGGUCAGUAGGUUGGUCGUGCCACCGGUACGUACUGGUCUCACUGAUUCCUCCUUCCUGAACAACCGUAAUGCCAUUAAUUUGGUGUUGCGGGGAAACAGGACUGUUACCUUGAAAAAAUUAGAGUGUUUAAAGCAAGCUAACGCUUGAAUACAUUAGCAUGGAAUAAUGAAAUAGGACGAUCGAUCCUAUUUUGUUGGUUUCUAGGAUUGACAUA
Molecule: ribosomal RNA, 216 nt
Filed under: Glomeromycotina sp.
Lineage: Eukaryota; Fungi; Glomeromycota
Description: partial small subunit ribosomal RNA
Rfam family: Eukaryotic small subunit ribosomal RNA (bases 40-216)
Source: RNAcentral